This 71-nucleotide transfer RNA is filed under the name Marmota monax (woodchuck). RNAcentral's name for it is "tRNA.Ala". It matches the Rfam family "tRNA". From Rfam's summary of the family: Transfer RNA (tRNA) molecules are approximately 80 nucleotides in length. Their secondary structure includes four short double-helical elements and three loops (D, anti-codon, and T loops). Lineage: Eukaryota; Metazoa; Chordata; Mammalia; Rodentia; Sciuridae. The record is from RNAcentral.
GAGGUUGUAGCUUAGUGGUGGAGCACCUACCUAGCAUGUGUGAGACACUGGGUUCAAUUCUCAGCACCACA